UGGGGAAUAUUGGACAAUGGGCGCAAGCCUGAUCCAGCAACGCCGCGUGGAGGACGAAGGUCUUCGGAUCGUAAACUCCUGUCAGGCGGGACGAAGGCUUCCGGGCAAAUAGUUCGGAAGCUUGACGGUACUGCCAGAGGAAGCCCCGGCUAACUCCGUGCCAGCAGCCGCGGUAAUACGGAGGGGGCUAGCGUUAUUCGGAAUUAUUGGGCGUAAAGGGCGCGUAGGCGGCCCGGUAAGUCAAAGGUGAAAUCCCUCGGCUCAACUGAGGAACUGCCUUUGAAACUGUCGGGCUUGAGGCCGGGAGGGGGUAGCGGAAUUCCCAGUGUAGCGGUGAAAUGCGUAGAUAUUGGGAGGAACACCGGUGGCGAAGGCGGCUACCUGGACCGGUUCUGACGCUGAUGCGCGAAAGCGUGGGUAGCAAACAGGAUUAGAUACCCUGGUAGUCCACGCUGUAAACGAUGAGUGCUCGGUGUCGCGGGUAUCGACCCCUGCGGUGCCUUAGCU
This 507-nucleotide ribosomal RNA is filed under the name uncultured Acidobacteriota bacterium. RNAcentral's name for it is "bacterial SSU rRNA". It matches the Rfam family "Bacterial small subunit ribosomal RNA", at positions 355 to 853 of the family's 1533-position model. The record is from RNAcentral. Lineage: Bacteria; Pseudomonadati; Acidobacteriota.